GGCAAUGUGGCAUAGUGGUUAGCGUGUUGGACUAGGAUUUGGAAGACAAGGGUUCAAACCCCCACUUAGCCA
Molecule: non-coding RNA, 72 nt
Organism: Podarcis lilfordi (Lilford's wall lizard)
Lineage: Eukaryota; Metazoa; Chordata; Lepidosauria; Squamata; Lacertidae
Source: the annotation of a GenBank genome assembly